AGAGUUUGAUCAUGGCUCAGGAUGAACGCUAGCUACAGGCUUAACACAUGCAAGUCGAGGGGCAGCAUGUUGGUUGCUUGCAACCAAUGAUGGCGACCGGCGCACGGGUGCGUAACGCGUAUCCAAUCUGCCCUGUGCUCGGGGAUAGCCUUGCGAAAGUAAGAUUAACACCCGAUGGUCUCCUUGGCCCGCAUGGUCCUUGGAGUAAAGUUUCACGGCACGGGAUGUGGAUGCGUCCGAUUAGGUAGUAGGCGGGGCAACGGCCCACCUAGCCGACGAUCGGUAGGGGUUCUGAGAGGAAGGUCCCCCACACUGGAACUGAGACACGGUCCAGACUCCUACGGGAGGCAGCAGUGAGGAAUAUUGGUCAAUGGUCGGAGGACUGAACCAGCCAAGUAGCGUGAGGGAAGGCGGCCCUACGGGUUGUAAACCUCUUUUGUUCGGGAAUAACAGGGUCCACUUGUGGUCCUCUGCAUGUACCGUUCGAAUAAGCAUCGGCUAAUUCCGUGCCAGCAGCCGCGGUAAUACGGAAGAUGCGAGCGUUAUCCGGAAUCAUUGGGUUUAAAGGGAGCGUAGGCGGCCUUUUGAGUCAGCGGUUAAAUGUCAGCGCCCAACGUUGGCGUGCCGUUGAUACUGGAGGGCUUGAGUUCACACAAGGAAGGUGGAAUUCGUCGUGUAGCGGUGAAAUGCUUAGAUAUGACGAGGAACCCCGAUUGCGAAGGCAUCCUUCUGGGGUGUUACUGACGCUGAGGCUCGAAAGCGCGGGUAUCAAACAGGAUUAGAUACCCUGGUAGUCCGCGCCGUAAACGAUGAGUGCUCGUCAUGCGCGACAGACUGUGCGUGACCUAGGGAAACCAUUAAGCACUCCACCUGGGGAGUACGCCGGCAACGGUGAAACUCAAAGGAAUUGACGGGGGCCCGCACAAGCGGAGGAACAUGUGGUUUAAUUCGAUGAUACGCGAGGAACCUUACCCGGGCUUGAACUGCCAGCGAACGAUACAGAGAUGUUGAGGCCCUUCGGGGCGCUGGUGGAGGUGCUGCAUGGUUGUCGUCAGCUCGUGCCGUGAGGUGUCGGCUUAAGUGCCAUAACGAGCGCAACCCCUGCCCCCAGUUGCCAUCGGGUCAUGCCGGGCCCUCUGGGGGGACUGCCAUCGCAAGGUGCGAGGAAGGUGGGGAUGACGUCAAAUCAGCACGGCCCUUACGUCCGGGGCUACACACGUGUUACAAUGGGGGGCACAGAGAGUUGCUUGCCGGCGACGGUUGGCGGAUCUUCAAAUCCCCUCUCAGUUCGGAUCGGAGUCUGCAACCCGACUCCGUGAAGCUGGAUUCGCUAGUAAUCGCGCAUCAGCCAUGGCGCGGUGAAUACGUUCCCGGGCCUUGUACACACCGCCCGUCAAGCCAUGAAAGCCGGGGGCGCCUGAAGUCCGUUGCCGCGAGGAUCGGCCUAGGGCGAGACCGGUGAUUGGGGCUAAGUCGUAACAAGGUAACC
Molecule: ribosomal RNA, 1489 nt
Filed under: uncultured rumen bacterium
Lineage: Bacteria
Description: bacterial SSU rRNA
Rfam family: Bacterial small subunit ribosomal RNA
Source: RNAcentral